GAGGCAGCAGUGAGGAAUAUUGCGCAAUGAGCGAAAGCUAGACGCAGCAACGCCGCGUGGACGAUGAAGGCCUUCGGGUCGUAAAGUCCUUUUCAGAGGGACGAGUGAGGACGGUACCUCUGGAAUAAGUCACGGCUAACUACGUGCCAGCAGCCGCGGUAAAACGUAGGUGGCGAGCGUUAUCCGGAUUCACUGGGCGUAAAGCGCCUGCAGGCGGUCUUGUAAGUGGGAUGUGAAAUCUCCUGGCUUAACUGGGAGGGGCCAUUCCAUACUGCGAGGCUUGAGGGCAGAAGAGGGAAGCGGAAUUCCCGGUGUAGUGGUGAAAUGCGUAGAUAUCGGGAGGAACACCAGUGGCGAAGGCGGCUUCCUGGCCUGCUCCUGACGCUAAGAGGCGAAAGCUAGGGGAGCGAACGGGAUUAGAAACCCCGGUAGUCCUAGCCAUAAACGAUGGAUACUGGGUGUCGGUGGUCCUAACCCCAUCGGUGCCGAAGCUAACGCGUUAAGUAUCCCGCCUGGGGACUACGGCCGCAAGG
This 533-nucleotide ribosomal RNA is filed under the name uncultured bacterium. Its description in RNAcentral is "bacterial SSU rRNA". It matches the Rfam family "Bacterial small subunit ribosomal RNA", at positions 345 to 893 of the family's 1533-position model. The record is from RNAcentral.